Molecule: ribosomal RNA, 495 nt
Filed under: uncultured bacterium
Lineage: Bacteria
Description: partial 16S ribosomal RNA
Rfam family: Bacterial small subunit ribosomal RNA
Source: RNAcentral
GAUGAACGCUGGCGGCGUGCCUAAUACAUGCAAGUAGAACGCUGAAGGAGGAGCUUGCUCUUCUGGAUGAGUUGCGAACGGGUGAGUAACGCGUAGGUAACCUGCCUGGUAGCGGGGGAUAACUAUUGGAAACGAUAGCUAAUACCGCAUGACAACAGUUAUUGCAUGAUAACUGUUUAAAAGGGGCAACUGCUCCACUACCAGAUGGACCUGCGUUGUAUUAGCUAGUUGGUGAGGUAACGGCUCACCAAGGCGACGAUACAUAGCCGACCUGAGAGGGUGAUCGGCCACACUGGGACUGAGACACGGCCCAGACUCCUACGGGAGGCAGCAGUAGGGAAUCUUCGGCAAUGGACGGGAGUCUGACCGAGCAACGCCGCGUGAGUGAAGAAGGUUUUCGGAUCGUAAAGCUCUGUUGUAAGAGAAGAACGAGUGUGAGAGUGGAAAGUUCACACUGUGACGGUAUCUUACCAGAAAGGGACGGCUAACUACGUG